AGUGAACGCUGGCGGUAGGCCUAACACAUGCAAGUCGAACGGCAGCACAGUAAGAGCUUGCUCUUACGGGUGGCGAGUGGCGGACGGGUGAGGAAUACAUCGGAAUCUACUUUUUCGUGGGGGAUAACGUAGGGAAACUUACGCUAAUACCGCAUACGACCUACGGGUGAAAGCAGGGGAUCUUCGGACCUUGCGCGUUUGAAUGAGCCGAUGUCGGAUUAGCUAGUUGGCGGGGUAAAGGCCCACCAAGGCGACGAUCCGUACCUGGUCUGAGAGGAUGAUCAGCCACACUGGAACUGAGACACGGUCCAGACUCCUACGGGAGGCAGCAGUGGGGAAUAUUGGACAAUGGGCGCAAGCCUGAUCCAGCCAUACCGCGUGGGUGAAGAAGGCCUUCGGGUUGUAAAACCCUUUUGUUGGGAAAGAAAAGCAGCAGGUUAAUACGCCGCUGUUCUGACGGUACCCAAAGAAUAAGCACCGGCUAACUUCGUG
Molecule: ribosomal RNA, 492 nt
Filed under: uncultured bacterium
Lineage: Bacteria
Description: partial 16S ribosomal RNA
Rfam family: Bacterial small subunit ribosomal RNA
Source: RNAcentral